RNAcentral lists this ribosomal RNA (492 nucleotides) under uncultured bacterium. RNAcentral's name for it is "partial 16S ribosomal RNA". It matches the Rfam family "Bacterial small subunit ribosomal RNA", at positions 29 to 507 of the family's 1533-position model. The record is from RNAcentral.
AGUGAACGCUGGCGGUAGGCCUAACACAUGCAAGUCGAACGGCAGCACAGUAAGAGCUUGCUCUUACGGGUGGCGAGUGGCGGACGGGUGAGGAAUACAUCGGAAUCUACUUUUUCGUGGGGGAUAACGUAGGGAAACUUACGCUAAUACCGCAUACGACCUACGGGUGAAAGCAGGGGAUCUUCGGACCUUGCGCGAUUGAAUGAGCCGAUGUCGGAUUAGCUAGUUGGCGGGGUAAAGGCCCACCAAGGCGACGAUCCGUAGCUGGGCUGAGAGGAUGAUCAGCGACACUGGAACUGAGACACGGUCCAGACUCCUACGGGAGGCAGCAGUGGGGAAUAUUGGGCAAUGGGGGCAAGCCUGAUGCAGCCAUGCCGCGUGGGUGAAGAAGGCCUUCGGGGUGGAAAGCCCUUUUGUUGGGAAAGAAAAGCAGCAGGGUAAUACGCCGCGGUUGUGACGGUACCCAAAGAAUAAGCACCGGCUAACUUCGUG